AAGGGAGACCUAAUUCAGGUAGGAGACGAAAAAAAAGUAGUCCCAACCAAGAAUCAAUCCCAAAAGGUCGGAGCGAGGCGAAAUUGGCUUUCAAACUAGGCUCUGGGUUCACACAAGACCUGAAUCAGGAACAAGGGCUAUUAGCUCAGGUGGUUAGAGCGCACCCCUGAUAAGGGUGAGGUCCCUGGUUCGAGUCCAGGAUGGCCCACCUGCACAGGUGGCAAAAACAAGAGAAGCGAGGAAUCAGCACCUUAUCUUAUCUAUAUAUAUAUAGGAGAGAAUGCUGGCUCUGAGUAAAGAGUCCAGAGGAACCUUGAAAACUGCAUAGAGCUAGGUGAAAAAGCCAAAAAAGAAGACCGCAA
This 362-nucleotide transfer RNA is filed under the name uncultured Microcystis sp. RNAcentral describes it as "partial 16S-23S ribosomal RNA intergenic spacer". The stretch from base 135 to 208 matches the Rfam family "tRNA". The record is from RNAcentral. Lineage: Bacteria; Bacillati; Cyanobacteriota; Cyanophyceae; Chroococcales; Microcystaceae.